RNAcentral lists this long non-coding RNA (2779 nucleotides) under Homo sapiens (human). RNAcentral's name for it is "HSALNT0297783". Lineage: Eukaryota; Metazoa; Chordata; Mammalia; Primates; Hominidae. The record is from RNAcentral.
CCUCAUGAUCUGCCUGCCUCGGCCUCCCAAAGUGCUGGGAUUGCAAGCGUGAGCCACUGCGCCCGGCCGACUCACUCCUGUUAUGAGGGCCUAGUCUAGCACCCACUCUAGAAUUUUGAAACCUCAUUGAUAGCUUUUCCUUGCCCCAAAGCACACAUCCAGGACUGCCAAACAGGGCAACCCAAAACUUCUCUCAGAGCUUCCUCCAGCCCAGGGGCAGCUGUCCCCAGCUGGGCGGACCCAAAGAUGGACAACAGAGGAGACUGGGAACAAAGAGGUCUAGUCCAGGUCACUCUGCAGGGCCACAGUGGGUGGCCCUUAGGAUGUAGUGAGAGUACAGAAUUGGGAGCCCUAGAGUGCUGUAAGCAAAAGGGAGAGCAAUGUACAAAGUUUCAAAAGUUUCAAACCUUCCAAGUGCAAAGAGAUGAGGUGGAGAAUGUCAUUCCCCAAGGAAAGUAAUCGAGUAUAAAUAUUUACCGGGUGCCUAUUUUUUUUUUAACCGAAGUGAGAGCAAGACCUUAAGAGUAAGGAUAUGUGUAGGUGAGUGGGGGCAGUGUUCUAACCCAUCCACUAGCUUUAGAACUUGGAGCAGGGGCAGAGGAAGAAAACUCCAAAAGGUGACAAGUUUUGAAAUUUGUGCAGGGGUGACGGUUUUUGGUAAGGCGAGCGAGGCUGGGCGCAGAGCAAAUUCUGUCUACUUCUACCUCCUCCGCGGUGGGGUUGCUGAAGUGGGAAUUCAAACUCAGCUUCCCAAUCUUAAAUGCAAGGUUUUUGUUUGGUUGGUUGUUUGGUUUUGUUUUUCCUUUUCACGGACUGUUCAUUCCGAACACCCCUGGCCUGGGACCUGGAGCCUCAUCCCUGAUUCGCUUCCCUCGAAUUCCUUAAUGUCCACUUCUGGCUCUCCCAGUCCCUGUGCAAGUCUCCCGGUUCUGGCUGCAACUUCGCACUCCGCGCCUCUGGCAACCAGAAGAGACCCUGGCAUCUCCAAAGCGCUUUAUCUCAGUCCAUUGGAACCAGUCGUGCUGACCGAUUCACACCUCGGCUAACGCACACUCGCGGGGGUGAUGGCCUUCCCUUCCCCUCCCACCCCCGUCAGCUCCCAGUUUGGCAGGGAUCCUUAGCGGUAGAAGUGUUCAGAUGCUGGACUGAUGCAGUGACAACCUGCAAGUCCCUUUUUUCCUCUUUCCACCUUCUAGUCUCCCUCCAGUGCCUCCUCUUGGCAGAACCUAACAAGAAAUCAGCUGACAAGGGAGUCUGGGAACCAGUGUCCUGUGAUCAACCUGGGGAGAACGGAAUCUUUCCUUCAGAGAACUUGGUAUAUAUCUCCAUUGUUUGAGUCUUCAUUAAAGUUUAUAAUUUUCCCUGUAAUGGUUUUAAUUCAUUCAUUAUUGUUAAGUGAUAAAUUCAUUUAAUUCAUUGUUAGAUUUAUUCCUAGGUAAUUUAUGUCCUCUAAGACUAUGGCAAAUAUUAUCUUCUUUUUAAUUAUUUUUGUUGCUGGUGUAUGAAAUUGCAAUUUAUUGUUUUAUAUUAAUCUUUUAUUGAGCUACCUUAUUAACUUAUCUUAUUAGAUUGAAGUAUUUCUAGAUUAUUUUGGGUUUUAUAUGUAAAUGAUCAUAUCACAAGCAAAUAGUGAUAAUUUUAUGUUUCCUUCCCAAUCCUUCUGCAACUGAUUUGUUUUACUUAAGUUAAUAUACUGGCAAGAACAUCUAAGGAUAGAAAGGAGUGGUGAUCAUGCACAUCCUCACCUCAUUCCAGAUUUUGAAGUGUAAGCUUCUAAUGUUUCCACAUUUGCUUAAUUUUUUAAAUGUGCUUUUUAUUUAUUUAGUUAUCAUUUUUAAAUUAUUAUUUUAUCUUAGAGACAGGGGCUUGCUAUAUUGUCCAGGCUGGUCUCGAACUCCUGGCCUCAUGUGAUCCUCCCACCUUGGCUUCUUAAAGUGCUGGUAUUAUAGGAAUGAGUUGCUGCAACUGGCCUAUAUGUGCUUUUUAUCAUUUUAAGGUUAUUCUCUUCUAUUCCUAAUUGACUAAAAGAUUUUUUUCUUUAAUAAUGAACUAAUGAUGAUUUUUUUCAAAUGCCUUAUCUAUACCUAUUAAAAUUACAUAUGGUUUUUCUCUUUUAAUAUGGUAGUAUGGUGAAUUACAUUUGUAGAUUUUCUAACAUUAAAUCAACUUUGCCUUCUUGAGUUAAACCAAACUUUGUCAGUGUAUUAUCUUUUUUAUACACUGUAGAAUUUAAUUUACUAAUACAAUCUUCUAUUUAUGAUUUUUGCUUCUAUAGUCAUAAAUGAAACAGCCCUGUAAUUUUUCCUUUUCUUCUUGUCAUAGUCUGGUUUUGGUAUUGGGGUUACAGAGUCCAUAUAAAAUGAGUUGGAGAGUAUUUCCCUUUUUUUCUAUUCUCAAGAAAAGUUUUUUAUGAGACUGGGAUGAUCACUUCCUUUUAAGAUUUGUGGGAACUUGCCUGUAAAAUCAUUUGGGCCUAGUAUUUAAUGUGGGAUUAUUUAACAAUACUGCUUGCAUUUUUGUAAUUGUUGAAUUCUCAGAUUUAAAAAAAUUUCUUCUUGAGUACAUUUUGUUAUUUUCCUAGGAAACUGAGUAUUUAUCAAACCUUUCAAAUUGUUGUUGAUAAAAUUCCUAUUUGCUUGUUAAUCUGUACUUUAUCUAGAGUGUGUUCCCUUUUUAAUUUGUGCUAUUACUUCUUUGUGAAUAAUUUGUCUUAAUUUAUUACAGAUACUUAAAUUAUAAAAGUUUUCAAAUUACUUACAUGUAUAUAUACAUAUGUUAA